UCCCUGUGAUGAAGCUCUCGCAUGUCUUACGCCCUGUGUCAGGACCAGAACCUGCAAAGGUGAACCCACUGGUCUUGCCAGGGCAAGAAGGGGAUGACCUGUUGGGGUAUCCAACGGUCUGAUGGGAC
This is a small nucleolar RNA of Scleropages formosus (Asian bonytongue), 128 nucleotides long. Its record names the gene SNORD22. It matches the Rfam family "Small nucleolar RNA SNORD22". Rfam says of the family: U22 is a member of the C/D class of snoRNA which contain the C (UGAUGA) and D (CUGA) box motifs. Lineage: Eukaryota; Metazoa; Chordata; Actinopteri; Osteoglossiformes; Osteoglossidae. The record is from Ensembl.